RNAcentral lists this small RNA (113 nucleotides) under Marmota monax (woodchuck). The record is from RNAcentral. Lineage: Eukaryota; Metazoa; Chordata; Mammalia; Rodentia; Sciuridae.
GCUGGGCACAGUGGCGCGCGCCUGCAGUCCCAGCUACUGCGGAGGCUGAGGCAGGAGGAUUGAUUGAGCCCAGGAAUUCCAGGCCAGCCUGCGCAACACAGUGGAUCUCCGUU